CCUACGUGAGGCAGCAGUGAGGAAUAUUGGUUAAUGGGCGCGAGCCUGAACCAGCCAAGUCGCGUGAGGGAAGACGGUCCUAUGGAUUGUAAACCUCUUUUGUCGGGGAGCAAAAGACGCCACGCGUGGCGUUCCGAGAGUACCCGAAGAAAAAGCAUCGGCUAACUCCGUGCCAGCAGCCGCGUUAAUACGGAGGAUGCGAGCGUUAUCCGGAUUUAUUGGGUUUAAAGGGUGCGCAGGCGGAAGAUCAAGUCAGCGGUAAAAUUGAGAGGCUCAACCUCUUCGAGCCGUUGAAACUGGUUUUCUUGAGUGAGCGAGAAGUAUGCGGAAUGCGUGGUGUAGCGGUGAAAUGCAAAGAUAUCACGCAGAACUCCGAUUGCGAAGGCAGCAUACCGGCGCUCAACUGACGCUCAUGCACGAAAGUGUGGGUAUCGAACAGGAUUAGAUACCCUAGUAGUC
RNAcentral lists this ribosomal RNA (459 nucleotides) under uncultured bacterium. RNAcentral's name for it is "partial 16S ribosomal RNA". It matches the Rfam family "Bacterial small subunit ribosomal RNA", at positions 338 to 795 of the family's 1533-position model. The record is from RNAcentral.